CCCUGGUUAGUUUAAUUGGUAAAACGGUCGAUUUAUAGUCGGCUAUAUACAGGUUCGAAUCCUGUACUAGGGAC
This 74-nucleotide transfer RNA is filed under the name Streptomyces phage Stigma. Its description in RNAcentral is "tRNA-Ile". It matches the Rfam family "tRNA". Rfam says of the family: Transfer RNA (tRNA) molecules are approximately 80 nucleotides in length. Their secondary structure includes four short double-helical elements and three loops (D, anti-codon, and T loops). Further hydrogen bonds mediate the characteristic L-shaped molecular structure. tRNAs have two regions of fundamental functional importance: the anti-codon, which is responsible for specific mRNA codon recognition, and the 3' end, to which the tRNAs corresponding amino acid is attached (by aminoacyl-tRNA synthetases). tRNAs cope with the degeneracy of the genetic code in two manners: having more than one tRNA (with a specific anti-codon) for a particular amino acid; and 'wobble' base-pairing, i.e. permitting non-standard base-pairing at the 3rd anti-codon position. Lineage: Duplodnaviria; Heunggongvirae; Uroviricota; Caudoviricetes; Stanwilliamsviridae. The record is from RNAcentral.